AUCGCGGCAGGUGCUCACGUUAAGCCCACUGACUUUCAUGUCCCUAUCUACUAUCUAGCGAAACCACAGCCAAGGGAACGGGCUGGGAAUAAUUAGCGGGGAAAGAAGACCCUUUUGAGCUUGACUCUAAUCUGGCAGUGUAAGGAGACAUAAGAGGUGUAGAAUAAGUGGGAGAUAUUAGACUUCGGUUUGGUAUCGACAAUGAAAUACCACUACUCUUAUUGUUUCCUUACUUACUUGAUUAAAUGGAACGUGUAUCAUUUCCUAGCCAUUAUACGGAUAUAAUUAUUAUGUCUUAUGGUAUUGGGUUUUGAUGCAAGCUUCUUGAUCAAAGUAUCACGAGUUUGUUAUAUAAUCGCAAACAAAUUCUUUAAUGAGAGAAUGCAUUUAUGUAUUAUUGAUUUAAAAAUUUGGUAUAACUCCAAUUACUCAGGUAUGAUCCAAUUCAAGGACAUUGCCAGGUAGGGAGUUUGACUGGGGCGGUACAUCUCUCAAAUAAUAACGGAGGUGUCCCAAGGCCAGCUCAGUGCGGACAGAAACCACACAUAGAGCAAAAGGGCAAAUGCUGACUUGAUCUCGGUGUUCAGUACACACAGGGACAGCAAAAGCUCGGCCUAUCGAUCCUUUUGGUUUAAAGAGUUUUUAACAAGAGGUGUCAGAAAAGUUACCAUAGGGAUAACUGGCUUGUGGCGGCCAAGCGUUCAUAGCGACGUCGCUUUUUGAUCCUUCGAUGUCUGCUCUUCCUAUCAUUGUGAAGCAAAAUUCACCAAGCGUUGGAUUGUUCACCCAUGCCAGGGAACGUGAGCUGGGUUUAGACCGUCGUGGAGACAGGUUAGUUUUACCCUACUAAUGACAAAACGUUGUUGCGACAGCAUUCCUGCGUAGUACGAGAGGAACCGCAGGUACGGACCAAUGGCACAAUACUUGUUCGAGCGAACAGUGGUAUGACGCUACGUCCGUUGGAUUAUGCCUGAACGCCUCUAAGGUCGUAUCCGUGCUGGACUGCAAUGAUAAAUAAGGGGCAAUUUGCAUUGUAUGGCUUCUAAACCAAUUAAAAGUUUUUAAUUUGUUUUAUUAACGACAAUGGAUGUGAUGCCAAUGUUAUUUAUAACAUAGUAAAUUGGGAGGAUCUUCGAUCACCUGAUGCCGCGCUAGUUAUAUUUUAAAACAUUAUUUAAUACAAUGUCAAAGCCUAGAAUCAAUUGUAAACGACUUUUGUAACAGGCAAGGUGUUGUAAGUGGUUGAGCAGCUGCCAUACUGCGAUCCACUGAAGCUUAUCCUUUGCUUGAUGAUUC
Non-coding RNA from Drosophila virilis, 1296 nucleotides. Lineage: Eukaryota; Metazoa; Arthropoda; Insecta; Diptera; Drosophilidae. The record is from Rfam.